This 6880-nucleotide long non-coding RNA is filed under the name Ananas comosus (pineapple). RNAcentral's name for it is "long non-coding RNA (ACOM_LNC038165)". Lineage: Eukaryota; Viridiplantae; Streptophyta; Magnoliopsida; Poales; Bromeliaceae. The record is from RNAcentral.
AACCGGAACAACAAUAGACUGCUUAGUUGCGCCAUAACAGUAUAACUUUGCAACGAGUGCUUUUUCUCAUUUUAUCGAAAAAGCGCAAAUUUAAUUAUAUUGUUCUAUAAUGCCCAGAGAGUGUAAAAUUUGGAACGAAUCGAUGUCAACGCUCACAAGAACAAAAACCGGAACAACAUCAGACUACUCAGUUGCGCCAUAACAGUAUAACUUUGCAACGAGUGCUUUUUCUCAUUUUAUCGAAGAAAAAGAGUAAAACAUAAUUAUAUUGUUCUAUUAUGCCCAGAGAGUGUAAAUUUGGAACGAAUCGAUGUCAACGCUCGCAAGAACAAAAACCGAAACAACUUUAGACUACUCAGUUGCGCAAUAACAGUAUAACAUUGCAACGAGUGAUUUUUCUCAUUUUAUCGAAGAAAGCGUAAAACCUAAUUAUAUUUUUCUAUUAUGACCAGAGAGUGUAAAUUUGGAACGAAUCGAUGUCAACGCUCACAAGAACAAAAAUCGGAACAACAUUAGACUACUCAGUUGCUCCAUAACAGUAUAACUUUGCAACGAGUACUUUUUCUCAUUUUAUCGAAGAAAACGCAAAAUCUAAUUAUAUUGUUCUAUUAUGCCCAGAGAGUGUAAAUUUGGAACGAAUCGAUGUCAACGCUCACAUGAACAAAAAUCGGGACAACAUUAGACUACUGAGUUGCGCCCUAACAGUAUAAAUUUGCAACGAGACCUUUUUCUCAUUUUAUCGAAGAAAGCAUCAAACCUAAUUAUAUUGUUCUAUUAUGCCCAGACAGUGUAAUUUUGGAACGAAUCGAUGUCAACGCUCACAAGAAUAAAAACCGGAACAACAUUAGACUACUCAGUCGCGCCCUAACAGUAUAACUUUGCAACGAGUACUUUUUCUCAUUUUAUCGAACAAAGCGUCAAACCUAAUUAUAUUGAUUUAUUAUGCCCAGAGAGUGUAAAUUUAGAACGAAUCGAUGUCAACGCUCACAAGAACAAAAACCGGAACAACAAUAGACUACUUAGUUGCGCCAUAACAGUAUAACUUUGCAACGAAUGCUUUUUCUCAUUUUAUCGAAAAAGCGCAAAUUUAAUUAUAUUGUUCUAUAAUGCCCAGAGAGUGUAAAAUUUGGAACGAAUCGAUGUCAACGCUCACAAGAACAAAAACCGGAACAACAUGAGACUACUCAGUUACGCCCUAACAGUAUAAAUUUGCAACGAGCACUUUUUCUCAUUUUAUCGAAGAAAGCAUUAAACCUAAUUAUAUUGUAAUAUUAUGCCCAGAGGGUGUAAAUUUGGAACGAAUCGAUGUCAACGCUCACAAGAACAAAAACCGGAACAACAUUAGACUACUCAGUUGCGCCAUAACAGUAUAAUUUUGCAACGAGUGCUUUUCUCAUUUCAUCGAAGAAAGCGCAAAUCUAAUUAUAUUGUUCUAUUAUGCCCAGAGAGUGUAAAUUUGGAACGAAAUCGAUGUCAACGCUCACAAGAACAAAAACAGGAACAACAUUAGACUACUCAGUUGCGCCCUUACAGUAUAACUUUGCAACGAGUACUUUUUCUCAUUUUAUCGAAGAAAGCGUAAAACCUAAUUGUAUUCUUCUAUUAUGCCCAGAGAGUGUAAAUUUGGAACGAAUCGAUGUCAACGUUCACAAGAACAAAAACCGGAACAACAUUAGACUACUCAGUUGCGCCCUAACAGUAUAACUUUGCGACGAGUACUUUUUCUCAUUCUAUCGAACAAAGAGUAAAACAUAAUUAUAUUGUUCUAUUAUGCCCAGAGAGUGUAAAUUUGGAACGAAUCGAUGUCAACGCUCGCAAGAACAAAAACCGAAACAACUUUAGACUACUCAGUUGCGCAAUAACAGUAUAACAUUGCAACGAGUGAUUUUUCUCAUUUUAUCGAAGAAAGCGUAAAACCUAAUUAUAUUUUUCUAUUAUGACCAGAGAGUGUAAAUUUGGAACGAAUCGAUGUCAACGCUCACAAGAACAAAAAUCGGAACAACAUUAGACUACUCAGUUGCGCCCUAACAGUAUAACUUUGCAACGAGUACUUAUUCUCAUUUUAUCGAACAAAGCGUCAAACCUAAUUAUAUUGAUUUAUUAUGCCCAGAGAGUGUAAAUUUGGAACGAAUCAAUGUCAGCGCUCACAGGAACAAAAACCGGAACAACAAUAGACUGCUUAGUUGCGCCAUAACAGUAUAACUUUGCAACGAGUGCUUUUUCUCAUUUUAUCGAAAAAGCGCAAAUUUAAUUAUAUUGUUCUAUUCUGCCCAGAGAGUGUAAAUUUGGAACGAAUCGAUGUCAACGCUCACAAGAAAAAAAACCAGAACAACAUUAGACUACUCAGUUGCGACAUAACAGUAUAACUUUGCAACGAGUACUUUUUCUCAUUUUAUCGAAGAAAACGCAAAAUCUAAUUAUAUUGUUCUAUUAUGCCCAGAGAGUGUAAAUUUGGAACGAAUCGAUGUCAACGCUCACAUGAACAAAAAUCGGGACAACAUUAGACUACUGAGUUGCGCCCUAACAGUAUAAAUUUGCAACGAGACCUUUUUCUCAUUUUAUCGAAGAAAGCAUCAAACCUAAUUAUAUUGUUCUAUUAUGCCCAGACAGUGUAAUUUUGGAACGAAUCGAUGUCAACGCUCACAAGAAUAAAAACCGGAACAACAUUAGACUACUCAGUCGCGCCCUAACAGUAUAACUUUGCAACGAGUACUUUUUCUCAUUUUAUCGAAGAAAGCGUCAAACCUAAUUAUAUUGUUCUAUAAUGCCCAGAGAGUGUAAAUUUGGAACGAAUCGAUAUCAACACUCACAAAAAUAAAAACCGGAACAACAUUUGAGUACUCAGUUGUGCCUCUAACAGGUAUAACUUUUUGCAACCAGUACUUUAUUCUCAUUUUUUUGAAGUAAGCGGCCAAAACUAAUUUAUAUUGUAUUCUAUUUAGCCCCAGAGAGCUUGUAAAUUUCUGGAACGAAUUGAUGUCAACGCUCCACAAGAACAAAAACUGGAACAAAAUUAGGCUACUUAGUUGCGCCCUAACAGUAUAACUUUGCAACGAGUGCUUUUUCACAUUUUAUCGAAGAAAGCGUCAAACCUAAUUAUAUUGCUCUAUAAUGCCCAGAGAGUGUAAAUUUGGAACGAAUCGAUAUCAACACUCACAAAAAUAAAAACCGGAACAACAUUUGAGCACUCAGUUGUGUGCCCUUAACAGGUAUAACUUUUGCAACCAGUACUUUUUCUUCAUUUUAUCGAAAGUAAUGCGUCAAAACUAAUUUAUAUUAUGUCUCUUUUACGCCCAGAAGAGAGUAAAUCUGGAACGGAAUCGAUGUCAACGCUCACAAGAACAAAAACUGGAACAAAAUUAGGCUACUUAGUUGCGCCCUAACAGUAUAACUUUGCAACGAGUGCUUUUUCACAUUUUAUCGAAGAAAGCGUCAAACCUAAUUAUAUUGCUCUAUAAUGCCCAGAGAGUGUAAAUUUGGAACGAAUCGAUAUCAACACUCACAAAAAUAAAAACCGGAACAACAUUUGAGUACUCAGUUGCGCCUUAACAGUAUAACUUUGCAACCAGUACUUUUUCUCAUUUUAUCGAAGUAAGCGUCAAACCUAAUUAUAUUAUUCUAUUAUGCCCAGAGAGUGUAAAUUUGGAACGAUUCGAUGUCAACGCUCACAAGAACAAAAACCGGAACAACAUUAGACUCUUCAGUUGCACCCUAACAGUAUAACUUUGCAACGCGUACUUUUUCUCGUUUUAUCGAAGAAAGCGUAAAAUCUAAUUAUAUUGUUGUAUUAUGCCCAGAUAGUGUAAAUUUGGAACGAAUCGAUGUCAACGCUCACAAGAACAAAAACCGGAACAACAUUAGAGCACUCAGUUCCGCCAUAACAGUAUAACUUUGCAACGAGUGCUUUUUUUCAUUUUAUCGAAGAAAGCGUAAAACCUAGUUAUAUUAUUCUAUUAUGCCCAGAGAGUGUAAAUUUGGAACGAAUCGAUUUCAACGCUCACAAGAACAAAAACCGGAACAACAUUAGACUACUCAGUUGCGCCCUAACAGUAUAACUUUGCAACGAGUACUUUUUCUCAUUUAUCGAAGAAAGCGUCAAACCUAAUUAUAUUGUUCUAUCUUGCCCAGAGAGUGUAAAUUUGGAACGAAUCGAUGUCAAAGCUCACAAGAACAAAAAUCGGAUCAAUAUUAGACUACUCAGUUGCGCCCUAACAGUAUAACUUUGCAACGAGUGCUUUUUCUCAUUUUAUCGAAGAAAGCGUAAAUCUAAUUAUAUUGUUCUAUUAUACCUAGAGAGUGUAAAAUUGGAACGAACUGAUGUGAGCGCUCACAAGAACAAAAACCGGAUCAAUAUUAGACUACUCAGUUCCGCCCUAACAGUAUAACUUUGCAACGAGUACUUUUUCUCAUUUAUCGAAGAAAGCGUCAAACCUAAUUAUAUUGUUCUAUUAUGCCCAGAGAGUGUAAAUUUGGAACGAAUCGAUUUUAAAGCUCACAAGAACAAAAACCGGAACAAUAUUAGACAACUCAGUUGCGCCCGAACAGUAUAACUUUGCAACGAGUGCUUUUUCUCAUUUUAUCGAAGAAAGCGUCAAACCUCAUUAUAUUGUUCUAUUAUGCCGAGAGAGUGUAAAUUUGGAACGAAUCGAUGUCAACGCUCACAAGAACAAAAACCGGAACAACAUUAGACUCUUCAGUUGCACCCUAACAGUAUAACUUUGCAACGCGUACUUUUUCUCGUUUUAUCGAAGAAAGCGUAAAAUCUAAUUAUAUUGUUGUAUUAUGCCCAGAUAGUGUAAAUUUGGAACGAAUCGAUGUCAACGCUCACAAGAACAAAAACCGGAACAACAUUAGAGCACUCAGUUCCGCCAUAACAGUAUAACUUUGCAACGAGUGCUUUUUUUCAUUUUAUCGAAGAAAGCGUAAAACCUAGUUAUAUUAUUCUAUUAUGCCCAGAGAGUGUAAAUUUGGAACGAAUCGAUUUCAACGCUCACAAGAACAAAAACCGGAACAACAUUAGACUACUCAGUUGCGCCCUAACAGUAUAACUUUGCAACGAGUACUUUUUCUCAUUUUAUCGAAGAAAGCGUAAAAUCUAAUUAUAUUGUUCUAUUAUUCCCAGAUAGUGUAAAUUUGGAACGAAUUGAUGUCAACGCUCACAAGAACAAAAACCGGAACAACUUUAGACUACUCAGUUGCGCCUAACAGUAUAACUUUGCAACGAGUACUUUUUCUCAUUUUAUCGAAGAAAGCGUCAAAACUAAUUAUAUUGUUCUAUUACGCCCAGAGAGUGUAAAUUUGGAACGAAUUGAUGUCAACGCUCACAAGAACAAAAACUGGAACAAAAUUAGGCUACUUAGUUGCGCCCUAACAGUAUAACUUUGCAACGAGUGCUUUUUCACAUUUUAUCGAAGAAAGCGUCAAACCUAAUUAUAUUGCUCUAUAAUGCCCAGAGAGUGUAAAUUUGGAACGAAUCGAUAUCAACACUCACAAAAAUAAAAACCGGAACAACAUUUGAGUACUCAGUUGCGCCUUAACAGUAUAACUUUGCAACCAGUACUUUUUCUCAUUUUAUCGAAGUAAGCGUCAAACCUAAUUAUAUUAUUCUAUUAUGCCCAGAGAGUGUAAAUCUGGAACGAAUCGAUGUCAACGCUCACAAGAACAAAAACCGGAACAACAUUAGACUACUCAGUUGCGCCAUAACAAUAUAACUUUGCAACGAGUACUUUUUCUUAUUUUAUCGAAGAAAGCGUAAAUCCUAAUUAUAUUAUUCUAUUAUGCCCAGAGAGAGUAAAUUUAGAACCAAUCGAUGUCAACGCUCACAAGAACAAAAAUCGGAACAACAAUAGACUACUCAGUUGCACCCUAACAGUAUAACUUUACAACGAGUGCUUUUUCUCAUUUUAUCGAAGAAGGCGUCAAACCUAAUUAUAUUGUUCUAUUAUUCCGAGAAAGUGUAAAUUUGGAACGAAUCGAUGUCAAAGCUCACAAGAACAAAAACCGGAACAAUAUUGGACUACUCAGUUGCGCCCUAACAGUAUAACUUUGCAACGAGUGCUUUUUCCCAUUUUAUCGAAGAAAGCGUAAAUGCUAAUUAUAUUGUUCUAUUAUGCCCAGAGAGUGUAAAUUUGGAACGAACCGAUGUCAGCGCUCACAAGAACAAAAACCGGAACAACAUUAGACUAAUCAGUUGCGCCCGAACAGUAUAAUUUUGCAACGAGUGAUUUUUCUCAUUUUAUCGAAGAAAGCGUCAAACCUAAUUAUAUUGUUCUAUUAUGCCCAGAGAGUGUAAAUUUGGAACGAAUCGAUGUCAACGCUCACAUGAACAAAAAUCGGGACAACAUUAGACUACUGAGUUGCGCCCUAACAGUAUAAAUUUGCAACGAGACCUUUUUCUCAUUUUAUCGAAGAAAGCAUCAAACCUAAUUAUAUUGUUCUAUUAUGCCCAGACAGUGUAAUUUUGGAACGAAUCGAUGUCAACGCUCACAAGAAUAAAAACCGGAACAACAUUAGACUACUCAGUCGCGCCCUAACAGUAUAACUUUGCAACGAGUACUUUUUCUCAUUUUAUCGAAGAAAGCGUCAAACCUAAUUAUAUUGUCUAUUAUGACCAGAGAGUGUAAAUUUGGAACGAAUCGAUGUCAACGCUCACAAGAACAAAAACCGGAAGAAAAUUAGACCACUUAGUUGCGCCCUAACAGUAUAACUUUGCAACGAGUACUUUUUCUCAUUUUAUCGAAUAAAGCGUAAAACCUAAUUAUAUUGUUCUAUUAUGCCCAGAGAGUGUAAAUUUGGAACGAAUCGAUGUCAACGCUCACAAGAACAAAAACCGGAAUAACUUUAGACUACUCAGUUGCGCCAUAACAAUAUAACUUUGCAA